RNAcentral lists this ribosomal RNA (87 nucleotides) under Adonis amurensis. RNAcentral's name for it is "partial 5.8S ribosomal RNA". It matches the Rfam family "5.8S ribosomal RNA", at positions 73 to 154 of the family's 154-position model. From Rfam's summary of the family: 5.8S ribosomal RNA (5.8S rRNA) is a component of the large subunit of the eukaryotic ribosome. The record is from RNAcentral. Lineage: Eukaryota; Viridiplantae; Streptophyta; Magnoliopsida; Ranunculales; Ranunculaceae.
UGCAGAAUCCCGUGAACCAUCGAGUCUUUGAACGCAAGUUGCGCCCGAGRCCACUAGGUCGAGGGCACGUCUGCCUGGGCGUCACAC